UACGGGGGGUGCAAGCGUUAUUCGGAAUUAUUGGGCGUAAAGCGCGUGUAGGCGGUUUGUUUAGUCUGAUGUGAAAGCCCCGGGCUCAACCCAGGAAGUGCAUUGGAUACUGGCAGACUUGAAUACGGGAGAGGGUAGUGGAAUUCCGAGUGUAGGAGUGAAAUCCGUAGAGAUUAGGAGGAACACCGGUGGCGAAGGCGGCUACCUGGACCGAUACUGACGCUGAGACGCGAAAGCGUGGGGAGCAAACAGG
This 253-nucleotide ribosomal RNA is filed under the name uncultured bacterium. RNAcentral describes it as "partial 16S ribosomal RNA". It matches the Rfam family "Bacterial small subunit ribosomal RNA", at positions 524 to 776 of the family's 1533-position model. The record is from RNAcentral.